This 253-nucleotide ribosomal RNA is filed under the name uncultured bacterium. Its description in RNAcentral is "partial 16S ribosomal RNA". It matches the Rfam family "Bacterial small subunit ribosomal RNA", at positions 524 to 776 of the family's 1533-position model. The record is from RNAcentral.
UACGAAGGGUGCAAGCGUUAAUCGGAAUUACUGGGCGUAAAGCGCGCGUAGGUGGUUCAGUAAGUUGGAAGUGAAAUCCCCGGGCCCAACCUGGGCACUGCUUUCAAAACUGCUGAGUUAGAGUACGGUAGAGGGUGGUGGAAUUUCCUGUGUAGCGGUGAAAUGCGUAGAUAUAGGAAGGAACACCAGUGGCGAAGGCGACAACCUGGACUGAUACUGACACUGAGGUGCGAAAGCGUGGGGAGCAAACAGG